Long non-coding RNA from Nicotiana attenuata, 658 nucleotides. RefSeq lists it as uncharacterized. Lineage: Eukaryota; Viridiplantae; Streptophyta; Magnoliopsida; Solanales; Solanaceae. The transcript has 3 exons. The record is from RefSeq and is a predicted model, not a curated record.
UCACAAACCUAAUAACAUUCUCACUUUGUUUCCCUACCCUGCCGCCAACCCCAUCCCCCCUUUUCCAUUUCCUUCUUCAACAAUGUCUCUCUUCACAUGAAGAGAGCAAACCAGCUGAAUCACUGGCUAGAUAGCCCGAUGGCUUCUCUUUUUUUUCAGGUAUUGAGUGGGACUUUAAAAAUUAAAAUGUAAUAUUGGGAGGAACCACAGUUCGUCGAAAAGACAUUACAAAAAUGAGAUGAGAAUUCUUUCAAAAGUUUUUAAAAAAGUAUACAGGGUGCAUUUCAAUCUAUACAAUGCAAGAAGAUUAAGGAUUCAACCUUGAUGCAAAGAGUGAAAGUACUUCAUCCUUAACUGCAGAAGAUUAUCUGGUGGCGACAUCUGAAAUUCCCGGAUCAAAUACUUAGAACUUAGUUUUCUUUUGAUGUGGAAACCUUCAUAAUUUUAUAGAUUAUAGAUAAUGGUGCAUAAUUUGUAUUAUACUCCUAUUAGUUUGACAAGAAUGUGACUUUAAGUUUUUUCUAUUAUCUAGCUGAAUAUUAGCUACUAGUAUGUCUCUUGUACAAGAGUUACAUACUUGUGGAAGUGUGUGUAUUAUGUACUGUAAAUAGACAAUUGUAUAUUUUAGAAUUAAUUUAUUAAACUAUUUAGAUUUCAA